CAGAGAUGGGUGAAGUCCUUCGGGACAAGGUGACAGGUGGUGCAUGGUUGUCGUCAGCUCGUGUCGUGAGAUGUUGGGUUAAGUCCCGCAACGAGCGCAACCCUUAUCAUUAGUUGCUACCAUUUAGUUGAGCACUCUAGUGAGACUGCCCGGGUUAACCGGGAGGAAGGUGGGGAUGACGUCAAAUCAUCAUGCCCCUUAUGUCUAGGGCUACACACGUGCUACAAUGGUGAGUACAAAGAGAUGCAAGACCGCAAGGCGGAGCCAAACUCAAAAACUCAUCCCAGUUCGGAUUGUAGGCUGCAACUCGCCUACAUGAAGCCGGAGUUGCUAGUAAUCGCGAAUCAGCAUGUCGCGGUGAAUACGUUCCCGGGCCUUGUACACACCGCC
RNAcentral lists this ribosomal RNA (390 nucleotides) under uncultured Clostridia bacterium. Its description in RNAcentral is "bacterial SSU rRNA". It matches the Rfam family "Bacterial small subunit ribosomal RNA", at positions 1001 to 1394 of the family's 1533-position model. The record is from RNAcentral. Lineage: Bacteria; Bacillati; Bacillota; Clostridia.